UGUGGGAGCGGGCUUGCCCGCGAUUGGUUCGAUGCGGUGUUCCUGAAACACCGCACCGUUUGAAUCGCGGGCAAGCCCGCUCCCACA
RNAcentral lists this unclassified non-coding RNA (87 nucleotides) under Pseudomonas fragi. Lineage: Bacteria; Pseudomonadati; Pseudomonadota; Gammaproteobacteria; Pseudomonadales; Pseudomonadaceae. The record is from RNAcentral.